Molecule: ribosomal RNA, 274 nt
Filed under: uncultured bacterium
Lineage: Bacteria
Description: partial 16S ribosomal RNA
Rfam family: Archaeal small subunit ribosomal RNA
Source: RNAcentral
AAACCAGCACCUCAAGUGGUCAGGAGGAUUAUUGGGCCUAAAGCAUCCGUAGCCUGCUGUAUAAGUUCUCGGUUAAAUCCAUACGCUCAACGUAUGGGCUGCCGGGAAUACUGUACAGCUAGGGAGUGGGAGAGGUAGACGGUACUCGGUAGGAAGGGGUAAAAUCCUUUGAUCUAUUGAUGACCACCUGUGGCGAAGGCGGUCUACCAGAACACGUUCGACGGUGAGGGAUGAAAGCUGGGGGAGCAAACCGGAUUAGAAACCCGUGUAGUCC